GGGGCCGUGGUGGAAUGGCAGACACGAAAGUCUUAAAAACUUUUGCCUUCACGGGCGUGUGGGUUCGAGUCCCACCGGCCUCA
This 83-nucleotide transfer RNA is filed under the name Anaerolineae bacterium. RNAcentral describes it as "tRNA-Leu". It matches the Rfam family "tRNA". Rfam says of the family: Transfer RNA (tRNA) molecules are approximately 80 nucleotides in length. The record is from RNAcentral. Lineage: Bacteria; Bacillati; Chloroflexota; Anaerolineae.